Molecule: ribosomal RNA, 245 nt
Filed under: uncultured bacterium
Lineage: Bacteria
Description: partial 16S ribosomal RNA
Rfam family: Bacterial small subunit ribosomal RNA
Source: RNAcentral
CGGCGACCGGCAAACGGGUGCGGAACACGUACGCAACCUACCCAAAACUGGGGAAUAGCCCGGGGAAACCCGGAUUAAUACCCCGUAACAUAUUGAAAAGGCAUCUUUUUAAUAUUAUAGCUCAGGCGGUUUUGGAUGGGCGUGCGGCUGAUUAGGUAGUUGGCGGAGUAACAGCCCACCAAGCCUGCGAUCAGUAACUGGUGUGAGAGCACGACCAGUCGCACGGGCACUGAGACACGGGCCCG